GUAGGGAAUAUUGGACAAUGGGGGCAACCCUGAUCCAGCGACGCCGCGUGAGUGAUGAAGGCCUUCGGGUCGUAAAGCUCUGUUGUAGGGGAAGAACACAAUGACGGUACCCUGCUAGAAAGGAUCGGCUAACUUCGUGCCAGCAGCCGCGGUAAGACGAGGGAUCCUAGCGUUGUUCGGAAUUAUUGGGCGUAAAGCGGGUGCAGGUGGCUUGGUAAGUCAGAUGUGAAAGCCUGGGGCUUAACCCCAGAAGUGCAUUUGAUACUGCUGAGCUUGAGUGCUGGAGAGGCUAUUAGAAUUCCUGGUGUAGUGGUGAAAUACGUAGAUAUCAGGAGGAAUACCGGAGGCGAAGGCGGUUAGCUGGCCAGACACUGACACUCAGACCCGAAAGCGUGGGGAUCAAACAGGAUUAGAAACCCGGGUAGUCC
Molecule: ribosomal RNA, 428 nt
Filed under: uncultured bacterium
Lineage: Bacteria
Description: bacterial SSU rRNA
Rfam family: Bacterial small subunit ribosomal RNA
Source: RNAcentral